This 64-nucleotide transfer RNA is filed under the name Cherax destructor. RNAcentral describes it as "tRNA-Ser". The record is from RNAcentral. Lineage: Eukaryota; Metazoa; Arthropoda; Malacostraca; Decapoda; Parastacidae.
GAGAAAAAUGCCAAGAAAAGCUUCUAACUUUAUUCCUGAGCGGUUAAAUUCCGUUCUCUUCUCU